CCAGACUCCUACGGGAGGCAGCAGUGAGGAAUAUUGGUCAAUGGGCGGGAGCCUGAACCAGCCAAGCCGCGUGAGGGAAGAAGGUACAGCGUAUCGUAAACCUCUUUUGCCAGGGAACAAAGGCGGGGACUAGUCCCCGGAUGAGGGUACCUGAAGAAAAAGCAUCGGCUAACUCCGUGCCAGCAGCCGCGGUAAUACGGAGGAUGCGAGCGUUAUCCGGAAUUACUGGGUGUAAAGGGAGCGUAGACGGCGAGGUAAGCCUGAAGUGGAAGCCCGCGGCCCAACCGCGGAACUGCUUUGGGAACUGUUUUGCUGGAGUAUGGGAGGGGUAAGCGGAAUUCCUGGUGUAGCGGUGAAAUGCGUAGAUAUCAGGAGGAACACCGGUGGCGAAGGCGGCUUACUGGACCAUAACUGACGUUGAGGCUCGAAAGCGUGGGGAGCGAACAGGAUUAGAUACCCUGGUA
RNAcentral lists this ribosomal RNA (464 nucleotides) under uncultured bacterium. RNAcentral's name for it is "bacterial SSU rRNA". It matches the Rfam family "Bacterial small subunit ribosomal RNA", at positions 331 to 792 of the family's 1533-position model. The record is from RNAcentral.